Long non-coding RNA from Harmonia axyridis, 429 nucleotides. RefSeq lists it as uncharacterized. The record is from RefSeq and is a predicted model, not a curated record. The transcript has 2 exons. Lineage: Eukaryota; Metazoa; Arthropoda; Insecta; Coleoptera; Coccinellidae.
UACUCCAAUAUAUUUAGUAUUCUGUACUCCAAACCAAAUCGUAUUAUUUAUCUAUGAUUGCAGCAGUCUCUGUGAUUAAUGAUUAUCAAUCUGUGUGUUCUGUGAUCAAAAGAAAGAUUAGGAACUGAAAAAAGAAAAAGAAAUUAAGGAAAAAGUAGAUACCUCUUAAAUAAUAUCCCUCAACCAUGACAAGCUUCAAGAAGAGAGCUUAUGGAAAUCCUGUUCUACUAGUUUCAUCGGUCUUGCUAUUCUCAUCAGCAUUUUACAUGGUAUAUAAGCACUAUUAUCAACCUUAUGCUUUAAAAAGGCAAUUAAUGAAACAAGGGGAAUUGAUAAGGCCACUUUUGGAAGGAAGCACUAAGGGUGGAAGUCAAAAUUGAGAUUAUAAAAAAAUUGCUCUUUAUAAUAAAGUAUGUUUCAGUAGUAAAA